RNAcentral lists this ribosomal RNA (875 nucleotides) under uncultured Chaetothyriales. RNAcentral describes it as "SSU rRNA". It matches the Rfam family "Eukaryotic small subunit ribosomal RNA", at positions 238 to 1118 of the family's 1831-position model. The record is from RNAcentral. Lineage: Eukaryota; Fungi; Ascomycota; Eurotiomycetes; Chaetothyriales.
GCUCCUUGGUGAUUCAUAAUAACUAAACGAAUCGCAUGGCCUUGCGCCGGCGAUGGUUCAUUCAAAUUUCUGCCCUAUCAACUUUCGAUGGUAAGAUAGAGGCUUACCAUGGUCUUAACGGGUAACGGGGAAUUAGGGUUCUAUUCCGGAGAGGGAGCCUGAGAAACGGCUACCACAUCCAAGGAAGGCAGCAGGCGCGCAAAUUACCCAAUGCUAAUUCAGCGAGGUAGUGACAAUAAAUACUGAUACGGGGCUCUUUCGGGUCUCGUAAUUGGAAUGAGUACAAUCUAAAUCCCUUAACGAGGAACAAUUGGAGGGCAAGUCUGGUGCCAGCAGCCGCGGUAAUUCCAGCUCCAAUAGCGUAUAUUAAAGUUGUUGCCGUUAAAAAGCUCGUAGUUGAACCUUGGACCUGGCUGAUCUGUCCUCCUAAUCGGGCGCACGGAUUCGGUCGGGUCUUUCCUUCUGGGGAGCCCUAUGCCCUUCACUGGGUGUAGUGGGGAACCAGGACUUUUACCUUGAAAAAAUUAGAGUGUUCAAAGCAGGCCUUUGCUCGAAUACAUUAGCAUGGAAUAAUAGAAUAGGACAUCGGUUCUAUUUUGUUGGUUUCUAGGACCGCUGUAAUGAUUAAUAGGGAUAGUCGGGGGCGUCAGUAUUCAAUUGUCAGAGGUGAAAUUCUUGGAUUUAUUGAAGACUAACUACUGCGAAAGCAUUCGCCAAGGAUGUUUUCAUUAAUCAGUGAACGAAAGUUAGGGGAUCGAAGACGAUCAGAUACCGUCGUAGUCUUAACCAUAAACUAUGCCGACUAGGGAUCGGACGGUGGUUUUUUUAUGCCCCGUUCGGCACCUUACGAGAAAUCAAAGUUUUUGGGCUCGGGG